Long non-coding RNA from Hylaeus anthracinus, 1622 nucleotides. RefSeq lists it as uncharacterized. Lineage: Eukaryota; Metazoa; Arthropoda; Insecta; Hymenoptera; Colletidae. The record is from RefSeq and is a predicted model, not a curated record. The transcript is spliced from 4 exons.
CCCUGCAGAUUCAACAACAUUAAAACAACAGUCAAUUUCUUCAUCGCUACAAAUUUUGUACAGAUGUUACUCAAACUGUUAAAUAUUUAGACUGCAUUUAUGAUGUUCACGGUAAAACACUUUUGGUGCUUUUUCUUCAUCCAAAUCUUUUUGCUAGCUACGCACCAUAUUUUUCUGACAUUUGAAAAUGUUGCUGCGUACUAGUGCGUCGUGCAAGGAGGUAAUAAAAAAGUAGAAUUUAGUACUUGUGGUUAAACAGUAUCAAUUAUUUGCUCGUGUUUAAAGUCAAAUGAUUUUAUAAACUCACCUCAAUAAAAUGAUGUAAAUUAUAAACAUUUAACUACGUUUGUAUUAUAGUGAUGCAAUCUCCAGAUUUUCAUCGUAUUCAUAGAGGUAUGCCAUUAAAACCACCAAAUUUUAGAAUAUAUGAUUAUUAUUUAACGAAUAUAAAGUAUAGAAAUGAACAUAAACUAUAUGUUCUUUAUAUGCAAAAAUCAAUUGAUCCAGAAUUAAUCACAUACAUGUGUACAUUAAUGAAUCUGAGACAAAACACUAUCGAUCAAUAGCCUUGCGAUCGAUAGGUCAGUUUUGUUUUAGCGAAAUUAAGAAUAGGUAAAACGAAAUCGAUAAUAUAAACCCUGUUUUCCGUAUAUAUACCAAUAUAAAGAUUUUAAAUUAUGUUUCUUCGUUUUACAUAUCCUAGUGUAUAUGUAUAUUUGUUCUAGAUGUUUCAUCGGUAUCUUUAAAAUAAUCAUACAUUUGCUCUAUAAAGUCGUUCACAAUUAUUUGUUUUUUCAAGAUCAUCGUAUGUUAUUUUUUACAUGCAACGCACGCCACGCGUAGCCAACGAACAUUACAAUAUUGACGCGAUUAAUUAUUUAGUAUUUGUUGUACUCGAAGUGUCUCGUCUGUUCAGUGUACUUGGAUUUGUAUUUUUUUAUUGAUGGAGAAAAUUGCAGGAAAGGCAGUAGGUAGCACAGUUUAUUUGUGGAACAAUUAUAGCUACAACAAAGACAAUCGUAGUGAGUGCAUUUAUCGUUGCGAUACUAGACGAACUACACGAUGUUGUGGGGCUGUAAUGGAUCUUGGUGAUGAAACUAUUAAGUUAUUAAAACCGCAUAAUCAUUCCGAGGUAUUUCAUAGAGGCGAUUAGGAAAAAAUGAAAAAUGAAAUGCGUCAAAUGUGCCGAGAAGCAUUAAUACCACUGAAGCAAAUUUUUUAUGAUAUCUGUAGGAAAUAUCCAGAUGCUCCAGCGUAUAGAUCUUUUAAUAGAUUAAGGUCAACCUUGCGAAAGAUACGAGCGAGUAAUAAACCAAAAAUUCCACAAACAUUAGAAAUUUUGUACCAGGGGUUACAAAGUUACGAACCUCUACAAAUUUUGUGAAAAUUCAUUUUGUAAAAUCAAAAAUAUGUGAAACUGCAAUAAUACUUUCAACUGAUGGUUUGUUGAAAAGUUUAUCCAAAGCCAAGGAAUUGUUCAUUGAUGGCACAUUUGCAGUUUUACCCAAAGAACCUCAGACUGGACAGCUCUACACCAUCCAUAUGCGCUACAUGGAUAAUGUAAAAGCAAUUAUUUAAUAUACAGGGUGUACCAGUCUAACUGUUACAGAGCUGUAACUCCU